GUUGAAGUUCUUUCUGAAAUAGCCACAGAUUAUUUUAUCUGUAGGUACAAAAAGAUGAAUGUAAGGAAAUAGGGAAGUGUUUUGCUAUAAAUCAUUACCUGCGUUAAUUACAAAUAAGGCUAAGAGUGCACAGUAUCAACUAUAUGAGGGCGUAUAUGCAUUUUUCCUGUUUAAGAAGAGCAUGUGGUAAAAUUUUGGGGUCUUGGGUUACUUAGAAUAUUAUACUAGUAUUUCUUUGUGCUUUGCUCAUUUCUAUCAUGAUCAAGUGAUUCUUUUUUUUUUUUUUUUCUGUCUCUCUUUUGGGUGCCACGAAUCAAACUUAGGGCCUUGUGCUUGCGGCAGGUGUUGCGCUGCUGAGCUACAUCCCUGGCCCAAUGCAGUGGUUCUUGGUAACUUGACUGUCUUCAAGAUGUCUCAGAUAAUGUCUGUGCAUCCUGUGGAAAGCUCUGAACACUCUGUCACUGAUCCGGAGCGGCCGCUCUCAUUUGGUGUUACCCUGGGGGAGCUUAGUCUACUGACUACAAAUGAGAAUUGGACUCCAUGCAUAUUAAAUGAAGCAGAAAAAAUUAUAUACAAGCUAAUCCGACUGGAUAGUCUCAGUGCUUACUGGAAUGUGAACUGCCGCCUGUCCUACCAGGGGUCCCGAGAACAGAUCUUGGAUCAACUGAAAAAUGAAAUUCUUACAAGUAGACAGAGACCUCCAAACCAUCAAUACAUUUUCCAGCCAAUAUCAGCCUCUGCAAAACUCUACAUGAAUCCUCAUGCAGAAGCAGAACUCAAAACUCCCAAAUUAGAUUGGAGCAUAGAAGUGCAGAAUAUUGCCAUUGAGCUGACCAAGCCCCAGUACUUAAGUAUGAUUGACCUUUUGGAAUCGUUGGAUUAUAUGGUUAGAAAUGUACCUUAUAGGAAAUAUAAACCUAAUUUACCACUUCAUACCAAUUGUAGGCAAUGGUGGAAGUAUGCCAUUGAUUCAGUUCUUGAAGUUCAUAUAAGAAGAUGUACACAGAUGUGGUCAUGGUGUAACAUAAAGAAGCAUAGAGAGUUACUCAAGAGUUAUAAAAUCGCUUACAAGAAUAAGCUAACUCAGACUAAACUCUCGGAAGAAAUCCAGAAACAAAUUCAGGACCUGGAGAAGACUUUAGAUGUUUUUAACAUAAUUUUAGCAAGGCAACAAGCACAAGUCGAGGUGAUUCGAUCUGGGCAGAAACUUAGGAAGAAAUCCACUGACACAGGGGAGAAACGGGGAGGCUGGUUUAGUGGGUUUUGGGGUAAGAAGGAGUCUAAGAAAAAAGGUGAAGAAUCAUUGAUUCCUGAAACUAUUGAUGAUCUUAUGACCCCUGAGGAGAAGGACAAACUAUUCACUGCUAUUGGUUACAGCAGGAGCAUGCAUAACUUGACUUUGCCCAAGAAGUAUGUUGCCUAUAUAAUGACCUUGAAGUUGGUAAGCACUUCUAUUGUAAUCAGAGAAAACAAAAAUAUUCCUGAAAUCCUAAAAAUCCAGAUCAUUGGCCUGGGCACCUGUUGGGAGCCGCGUCUGUGAUAGCUCGCCUUGCGCGGCGGACGUGCGGCCUGUGGUAAAGAGCAAAGCCUGAGGUAGAUUACCCCUCCCAUCGAAUAUGUUAGUUUCCUGCUUACCGCGUAAACAACCCGCUCAACAAUAUAGUCUGCCUGGCAACUGAUGAUGUUAGCCAAUCAGCUUGCCUUGCUUACUUUAACAUGAUUGGACACUGUACCCGUAUAUAUACCGGUGCCACCCCUGGGCGGAAGAAGAAGCCAGGUAGAAGCCUGGAAGUAGAAGCCCAGAAGGAGCCGCGGAGAGCGGACCGG
Molecule: long non-coding RNA, 1827 nt
Filed under: Cavia porcellus (domestic guinea pig)
Lineage: Eukaryota; Metazoa; Chordata; Mammalia; Rodentia; Caviidae
Description: lncRNA (ENSCPOG00000033865.1)
Source: RNAcentral